Molecule: ribosomal RNA, 253 nt
Filed under: uncultured bacterium
Lineage: Bacteria
Description: partial 16S ribosomal RNA
Rfam family: Bacterial small subunit ribosomal RNA
Source: RNAcentral
GACAGAGGGUGCAAACGUUGUUCGGAAUUACUGGGCGUAAAGCGUGCGCAGGCGGUUUUGUAAGUCUGUCGUGAAAGCCCCGGGCUCAACCUGGGAAUUGCGAUGGAGACUGCAAGGCUUGAAUCUGGCAGAGGGGGGUAGAAUUCCACGUGUAGCAGUGAAAUGCGUAGAGAUAUGGAGGAACACCGAUGGCGAAGGCAGCCCCCUGGGUCAAGAUUGACGCUCAUGCACGAAAGCGUGGGGAGCAAACAGG